This 862-nucleotide long non-coding RNA is filed under the name Equus caballus (horse). RNAcentral describes it as "lncRNA (ENSECAG00000043197.2)". The record is from RNAcentral. Lineage: Eukaryota; Metazoa; Chordata; Mammalia; Perissodactyla; Equidae.
CAUCAUUCUUUAACACCUUAUUUAAAGUCUAACUGUUUUCUCCUUAGUCACAGCUUGUUGUCUUCUUCGUCCUCCUGCUGCUGUUUCAUGAGAUAUAAACGCAGCCGUGGAGCCCUCCUCUUCAAGCUAAUAGGAAGCCCUAGCAAGAGAUCUGAAGGAGAGAAGUGAGUGAAGUCAGCGUAUUCAUUCUUCUGGGUCCUUCCACUUCAAGUCUGCCUCCGACUGAUUGCGUCCCUAACCAAAGAUGCAUGGAGACAAAUGAGAAGACGAGUGACUCCACGUUGCUUGGCAGGACCGAAGUCACAUAAUGCCACCUAUGCAGAGCGUGUCUGAACCAGGCCUGGGCAGUCCUGGGGAAAGGGCUUUGGGGCGGGGCCGGCACUGGAAUCACUGUCCCCUCCUCCACUGCCCAUCUCCCUCCACUGCUGACAAUCUCUGCACUGAAGUCUCUUGGAGCAUCUUCAAUGACUUUGAGAGCAAACACAUUUUAUUUUCCCAGAAGACUGUAUAGUUUGCUAAAUCUCAUAAAGUUAGUGACUAGAAGAACUGGAAACGAAAUGCGGAGAAUCACAUUUAGCUCCUCUUUAUUGCCUGUAACAGCACCACGUAAUAACAGCGAUGAAACAGCAGCCCUCAUUUUGAUCUCUUCAAGUCCUAUAUGUGCACUGUAUCUCAGCUUUGGCAAUCAUCGUUGUGUUUGCUGAGGAUUCAUUAUGUUCUUCUGAGUAAAUAAAUACUGUAAUUUCACCUAAAAUGUUAUUUUGCUCUUAUCCAAUUCUUAUUGUCUUCAGCGAUAUUUUAAAACCAAAAUGGGAAGCUUAACCCUGGGUCACCUGAUGCCCAAAUGAUAGUUUAAAAAAUA